This 373-nucleotide long non-coding RNA is filed under the name Brassica napus (rape). RNAcentral describes it as "long non-coding RNA (BNAP_LNC015926)". Lineage: Eukaryota; Viridiplantae; Streptophyta; Magnoliopsida; Brassicales; Brassicaceae. The record is from RNAcentral.
AAUAAACUAUAGUUUUAAAAUAUUUGGUUUCCUGGGUUGAACAUUAUUUACAAAACACCAAAUUUGAGGAAAUUGUGUUAUGUUGAUGCUUUAUUUUAGGUAAAAUUACAGAAUAUUUAGUGUUUUUAUAUUUUAUUGGAGUUGGUCUUAGAGAGAAAAAAUGUUAAGUUUAAAGAAGACACUGACCACAUUAUCAACAAGCCUCUGUUAAUCAAUGCUAAUUUAAAUAUUUAAUAAUUAAUAGGAUCUAAGUGAAAAAAAAAACAGCUAAAACAUGAUUAUCCAUUGGGGUAUACCGUAUAUGUGGUGUAUAUGUGGUGUCUUCUUAGCACAAUCAUUCUCUUACAGCUCUUUUUGUUUUCUCACUUCAUCU